Non-coding RNA from Cinara cedri, 218 nucleotides. The record is from the annotation of a GenBank genome assembly. NCBI's taxonomy places the organism in Eukaryota, Metazoa, Arthropoda, Insecta, Hemiptera, Aphididae.
GGAAUCUAAAAUCCCACAGCAAACAGCCUGCCUGUGGUCGGAUCACGUUGGCAGCCAGCUUCGAGAGAUUUUGCCGUGUACUGCAAAACAAAUUACUCGGGUCACUUCUCAAAUCCGGUCGACGCGCGAAUUGCGAUCGCAGAGUAUCCGCGUUUCGGUCGUGCAAAUACAUUAUAUAUUACUAUUACUACGUAUACAGGGUGUUCCACGAUGAUCUG